CAGCCGCCGCGGUAAUACGGAGGGUGCAAGCGUUAAUCGGAAUUACUGGGCGUAAAGCGUGCGUAGGCGGCUUUUUAAGUCGGAUGUGAAAUCCCUGAGCUUAACUUAGGAAUUGCAUUCGAUACUGGGAAGCUAGAGUAUGGGAGAGGAUGGUAGAAUUCCAGGUGUAGCGGUGAAAUGCGUAGAGAUCUGGAGGAAUACCGAUGGCGAAGGCAGCCAUCUGGCCUAAUACUGACGCUGAGGUACGAAAGCAUGGGGAGCAAACAGGAUUAGAUACCCGAGUAGUCCCUGUCUCUUAUAU
RNAcentral lists this ribosomal RNA (301 nucleotides) under uncultured bacterium. RNAcentral's name for it is "partial 16S ribosomal RNA". It matches the Rfam family "Bacterial small subunit ribosomal RNA", at positions 509 to 809 of the family's 1533-position model. The record is from RNAcentral.